GACGAACGCUGGCGGCGUGCUUAACACAUGCAAGUCGAACGGAAAGGCCCUGCUUUUGUGGGGUGCUCGAGUGGCGAACGGGUGAGUAACACGUGAGUAACCUGCCCUUGACUUUGGGAUAACUUCAGGAAACUGGGGCUAAUACCGGAUAGGAGCUCCUGCUGCAUGGUGGGGGUUGGAAAGUUUCGGCGGUAGGGGAUGGACGCGCGGCUUAUCAGCUUGUUGGUGGGGUAGUGGCUUACCAAGGCUUUGACGGGUAGCCGGCCUGAGAGGGUGACCGGCGACAUUGGGACUGAGAGACGGCGCAGACUCCUACGGGAGGCAGCAGUGGGGAGUAUUGCACAAUGGGCGGAAGCCUGAUGCAGCAACGCCGCGUGCGGGAUGACGGCCUUCGGGUUGUAAACCGCGUUCGCCUGUGACGAAGCGUGAGUGACGGUAAUGGGUAAAGAAGCACCGGCUAACUACGUG
This 468-nucleotide ribosomal RNA is filed under the name uncultured bacterium. Its description in RNAcentral is "partial 16S ribosomal RNA". It matches the Rfam family "Bacterial small subunit ribosomal RNA", at positions 28 to 507 of the family's 1533-position model. The record is from RNAcentral.